This 85-nucleotide transfer RNA is filed under the name Felis catus (domestic cat). It matches the Rfam family "tRNA". Rfam says of the family: Transfer RNA (tRNA) molecules are approximately 80 nucleotides in length. The record is from Rfam by way of RNAcentral. Lineage: Eukaryota; Metazoa; Chordata; Mammalia; Carnivora; Felidae.
GCCUGGGUGGCUCAGCUGGUUUAGCAUCUGACUUUGGCUCAGGUCAUGAUCUCAUGAUUCUUGGGUUCAAGCCCCGCAUCAGGCU